AUUGAACGCUGGCGGCGGGCCUAACACAUGCAAGUCGAACGGUAGCACAGAGAGCUUGCUCUCGGGUGACGAGUGGCGGACGGGUGAGUAAUGUCUGGGAAACUGCCUGAUGGAGGGGGAUAACUACUGGAAACGGUAGCUAAUACCGCAUAAUGUCGCAAGACCAAAGAGGGGGGACCUUCGGGCCUCUUGCCAUCAGAUGUGCCCAGAUGGGAUUAGCUAG
Molecule: ribosomal RNA, 223 nt
Filed under: uncultured bacterium
Lineage: Bacteria
Description: partial 16S ribosomal RNA
Rfam family: Bacterial small subunit ribosomal RNA
Source: RNAcentral